RNAcentral lists this transfer RNA (73 nucleotides) under Ictidomys tridecemlineatus (thirteen-lined ground squirrel). Its description in RNAcentral is "Spermophilus tridecemlineatus (thirteen-lined ground squirrel) tRNA". It matches the Rfam family "tRNA". Rfam says of the family: Transfer RNA (tRNA) molecules are approximately 80 nucleotides in length. The record is from Rfam by way of RNAcentral. Lineage: Eukaryota; Metazoa; Chordata; Mammalia; Rodentia; Sciuridae.
UGGGAUAUAGCUCAGUUGGUAGAGUGCUUGCCUUGCAUGCACAAAGCCCUGGGUUCAAUCCCUGGUACCACAA